UUUUCUUAGUAGCGGCGAGCGAAAAGAAAACAGUUCAGCACUAAGUCACUUUAUCUUUUAUGGUAAAUGUGAGAUGCAGUGUAUGGAACGUCUUCAAUCUAGUAUGAGAAAUUGAUGAUUUAAGUCCUUCUUAAAUGAGGCCAAUUACCCAUAGAGGGUGCCAGGCCCGUAUAACAUUAAUGAUUACUAGAAGAUGAUUCCAAAGAGUCGUGUUGCUUGAUAGUGCAGCACUAAGUUGGUGGUAAACUCCAUCUAAAACUAAAUAUGACCAUGAGACCGAUAGUAAACAAGUACCGUGAGGGAAAGUUGAAAAGAACUCUGAAUAGAGAGUUAAAUAGUACGUGAAACUGCUUAGAGGUUAAGCCCGAUGAACCUGAAUAUCCAUUAUGAAAAAUUCAUCAUUAAAAUUGUAAUAUCUUUUUAAUGUAAUAUUAUAAUGAUAGUGUGCAUUUUUUUCAUAUAAGGACAUUGUAAUCUAUUAACAUAAAAUAUUAGAUGUAUUUAUCAAAAAUUUCUAGAUUUUUAAGUUUAUUCAAAUUAAUAUGCAUUUUGUGUGCAUUUUAACAUAGAAUAAAUAUUUAUAAAUUGAUAAAGUGUUGAUAGACUUAUUCAUUUAUACUGUGCUUUAAUUUUUCGAAAUUAUAUAAUAGCAUAAUAAUCAAUGAUUUUCUAUGUUUAUUAUAUGCAUAUGUAUGAUUAACAAUGCGAAAGAUUCAGGAUACCUUCGGGACCCGUCUUGAAACACGGACCAAGGAGUCUAACAUAUAUGCAAGUCAUUGGGAUUUUAUAAACCUAAUGGCGUAAUUAACUUAACUUUUUUUUAAUUAAUUGGGAUUAGUUUUUCAAUUAUAUAUAGUUGUUUAACACAAUCCCGGGGCGUUCUAUAUAGUUAUGUAUAAUAAUAUUUAUUAUUAUUU
This 917-nucleotide ribosomal RNA is filed under the name Stegana sp. 1770 JL-2019. RNAcentral's name for it is "partial 28S ribosomal RNA". It matches the Rfam family "Eukaryotic large subunit ribosomal RNA", at positions 75 to 786 of the family's 3401-position model. Lineage: Eukaryota; Metazoa; Arthropoda; Insecta; Diptera; Drosophilidae. The record is from RNAcentral.